RNAcentral lists this ribosomal RNA (301 nucleotides) under uncultured bacterium. RNAcentral describes it as "partial 16S ribosomal RNA". It matches the Rfam family "Bacterial small subunit ribosomal RNA", at positions 509 to 809 of the family's 1533-position model. The record is from RNAcentral.
CAGUAGCCACGGUAAUACGUAGGGUGCAGGCGUUAAUCGGAAUUACUGGGCGUAAAGCGUGCGCAGGCGGUUUGUUAAGACAGAUGUGAAAUCCCCGGGCUCAACCUGGGAACUGCAUUUGUGACUGGCUAGCUAGAGUGUGGCAGAGGGGGGUGGAAUUCCGCGUGUAGCAGUGAAAUGCGUAGAUAUGCGGAGGAACACCGAUGGCGAAGGCAGCCCCCUGGGCCAACACUGACGCUCAUGCACGAAAGCGUGGGGAGCAAACAGGAUUAGAUACCCCCGUAGUCCCUGUCUCUUAUAA